This 440-nucleotide ribosomal RNA is filed under the name uncultured bacterium. RNAcentral describes it as "partial 16S ribosomal RNA". It matches the Rfam family "Bacterial small subunit ribosomal RNA", at positions 339 to 795 of the family's 1533-position model. The record is from RNAcentral.
CUACGGGUCGCAGCAGUAGGGAAUAUUGGGCAAUGGGCGCAAGCCUGACCCAGCAACGCCGCGUGCGCGAAGAAGGCCUUCGGGUCGUAAAGCGCUUUUCUGAGGGAUGAGAAAGGACAGUACCUCAGGAAUAAGCCUCGGCUAACUACGUGCCAGCAGCCGCGGUAAAACGUAGGAGGCGAGCGUUAUCCGGAUUUACUGGGCGUAAAGCGUGUGCAGGCGGUCUGGCAAGUUGGAUGUGAAAGCUCCCGGCUCAACUGGGAGAGGUCGUUCAAAACUACCGGACUAGAGUGUAUCAGAGGGAGAUGGAAUUCCCGGUGUAGUGGUGAAAUGCGUAGAUAUCGGGAGGAACACCAGUGGCGAAAGCGAUCUUCUGGGAUACUACUGACGCUCAGACACGAAAGCUAAGGUAGCGAACGGGAUUAGAUACCCUUGUAGUC